This 1470-nucleotide ribosomal RNA is filed under the name metagenome. RNAcentral describes it as "bacterial SSU rRNA". It matches the Rfam family "Bacterial small subunit ribosomal RNA". The record is from RNAcentral.
AGAGUUUGAUCCUGGCUCAGGACGAACGCUGGCGGCACGCUUAACACAUGCAAGUCGAACGUGAGAAGAGGAGCUUGCUUUUCUGAUCUAGUGGCGGACGGGUGAGUAACACGUGAGCAAUCUGCCUUUCAGAGGGGGAUACCGAUUGGAAACGAUCGUUAAUACCGCAUAACAUAAUUGAACCGCAUGAUUUGAUUAUCAAAGAUUUAUCGCUGAAAGAUGAGCUCGCGUCUGAUUAGCUAGUUGGUAAGGUAACGGCUUACCAAGGCGACGAUCAGUAGCCGGACUGAGAGGUUGAUCGGCCACAUUGGGACUGAGACACGGCCCAGACUCCUACGGGAGGCAGCAGUGGGGAAUAUUGCACAAUGGAGGAAACUCUGAUGCAGCGAUGCCGCGUGAGGGAAGAAGGUUUUAGGAUUGUAAACCUCUGUCUUCAGGGACGAAAAAAGACGGUACCUGAGGAGGAAGCUCCGGCUAACUACGUGCCAGCAGCCGCGGUAAUACGUAGGGAGCGAGCGUUGUCCGGAAUUACUGGGUGUAAAGGGAGCGUAGGCGGGAUCGCAAGUCAGAUGUGAAAACUAUGGGCUUAACCCAUAAACUGCAUUUGAAACUGUGGUUCUUGAGUGAAGUAGAGGUAAGCGGAAUUCCUAGUGUAGCGGUGAAAUGCGUAGAUAUUAGGAGGAACAUCAGUGGCGAAGGCGGCUUACUGGGCUUUAACUGACGCUGAGGCUCGAAAGCGUGGGGAGCAAACAGGAUUAGAUACCCUGGUAGUCCACGCCGUAAACGAUGAUUACUAGGUGUGGGGGGACUGACCCCUUCCGUGCCGCAGCAAACGCAAUAAGUAAUCCACCUGGGGAGUACGACCGCAAGGUUGAAACUCAAAGGAAUUGACGGGGGCCCGCACAAGCAGUGGAGUAUGUGGAUUAAUUCGAAGCAACGCGAAGAACCUUACCAGGUCUUGACAUCGUAUGCAUAGCUCAGAGAUGAGUGAAAUCUCUUCGGAGACAUAUAGACAGGUGGUGCAUGGUUGUCGUCAGCUCGUGUCGUGAGAUGUUGGGUUAAGUCCCGCAACGAGCGCAACCCUUAAUGUUAGUUGCUACGCAAGAGCACUCUAGCAGGACUGCCGUUGACAAAACGGAGGAAGGUGGGGAUGACGUCAAAUCAUCAUGCCCCUUAUGACCUGGGCCUCACACGUACUACAAUGGCUGUCAACAGAGGGAAGCAAAGCCGCGAGGUGGAGCGAACCCCUAAAAGCAGUCUUAGUUCGGAUUGUAGGCUGCAACCCGCCUACAUGAAGUCGGAAUUGCUAGUAAUCGCAGAUCAGCAUGCUGCGGUGAAUAUGUUCCCGGGCCUUGUACACACCGCCCGUCACGCCAUGGGAGUCGGUAACACCCGAAGCCUGUAGUCUAACCGCAAGGAGGACGCAGUCGAAGGUGGGAUUGAUGACUGGGGUGAAGUCGUAACAAGGUA